This 443-nucleotide ribosomal RNA is filed under the name uncultured bacterium. Its description in RNAcentral is "partial 16S ribosomal RNA". It matches the Rfam family "Bacterial small subunit ribosomal RNA", at positions 29 to 507 of the family's 1533-position model. The record is from RNAcentral.
AUCAACGCUGGCGGCGCGCUUAACACAUGCAAGUCGCACGAGAAAGGGAGCAAUCCUGAGUAAAGUGGCGUACGGGUGAGUAACACGUGGGAAUCUACCUCUUGGCGGGGAAUAACCCUGGGAAACCGGGGCUAAUACCGCAUAAGCUCGUGAGAGGAAAGCAGCAAUGCACCGAGAGAGGAGCCCGCGGCCGAUUAGCUAGUUGGUGGGGUAAUGGCUCACCAAGGCGAAGAUCGGUAGCCGGCCUGAGAGGGCACACGGCCACACUGGCACUGAAACACGGGCCAGACUCCUACGGGAGGCAGCAGUGGGGAAUCUUGCACAAUGGGGGAAACCCUGAUGCAGCGACGCCGCGUGAGCGAUGAAGCCCUUCGGGGUGUAAAGCUCUUUCGACAGGAACGAUAAUGACGGUACCUGGAGAAGAAGCUGCGGCUAACUACGUG